Molecule: ribosomal RNA, 495 nt
Filed under: uncultured bacterium
Lineage: Bacteria
Description: partial 16S ribosomal RNA
Rfam family: Bacterial small subunit ribosomal RNA
Source: RNAcentral
GACGAACGCUGGCGGCGUGCCUAAUACAUGCAAGUCGAACGCUGAAGGAGGAGCUUGCUUCUCUGGAUGAGUUGCGAACGGGUGAGUAACGCGUAGGUAACCUGCCUGGUAGCGGGGGAUAACUAUUGGAAACGAUAGCUAAUACCGCAUAAUAUUGACUAUUGCAUGAUAGUCAGUUGAAAGGUGCAACUGCACCACUACCAGAUGGACCUGCGUUGUAUUAGCUAGUUGGUGGGGUAACGGCUCACCAAGGCGACGAUACAUAGCCGACCUGAGAGGGUGAUCGGCCACACUGGGACUGAGACACGGCCCAGACUCCUACGGGAGGCAGCAGUAGGGAAUCUUCGGCAAUGGACGGAAGUCUGACCGAGCAACGCCGCGUGAGUGAAGAAGGGUUUCGGGUCGUAAAGCUCUGUUGUAAGAGAAGAACGAGUGUGAGAGUGGAAAGCUCACACUGUGACGGUAUCUUACCAGAAAGGGACGGCUAACUACGUG